RNAcentral lists this transfer RNA (77 nucleotides) under Porticoccus sp. RNAcentral describes it as "tRNA-Arg". It matches the Rfam family "tRNA". Rfam says of the family: Transfer RNA (tRNA) molecules are approximately 80 nucleotides in length. The record is from RNAcentral. Lineage: Bacteria; Pseudomonadati; Pseudomonadota; Gammaproteobacteria; Cellvibrionales; Porticoccaceae.
GCCCCGGUGGCACAGCUGGAUAGCGCAGCCCCCUCCUAAGGGGCAGGUCGCAGGUUCGAAUCCUGCCCGGGGCGCCA